Molecule: ribosomal RNA, 1184 nt
Filed under: human gut metagenome
Description: bacterial LSU rRNA
Rfam family: Bacterial large subunit ribosomal RNA
Source: RNAcentral
GACUUGUGGAUAGCGGUGAAAUUCCAAUCGAGCCUGGAGAUAGCUGGUUCUCCCCGAAAUAGCUUUAGGGCUAGCCUCAAGCUUAGAGAAACGGAGGUAGAGCACUGAAUGUCCUAGGGGGUAUUGCACUUACCGAAGACUAUCAAACUCCGAAUGCCGUAUUCUUUUGCUUGGGAGUCAGACUAUGGGUGAUAAGAUUCAUAGUCAAGAGGGCAACAGCCCAGAUCGUCAGCUAAGGUCCCUAAAUGUAAGUUAAGUGGUAAAGGAUGUGGAAUUGCACAGACAACCAGGAUGUUGGCUUAGAAGCAGCCACUCAUUUAAAGAGUGCGUAAUAGCUCACUGGUCGAGUGAUUCUGCGCCGAAAAUUUCCGGGGCUAAAACUUACUACCGAAGCUACGGCAUCAUUAUGAUGGGUAGGGGAGCUUUCUAUGUGGCUUGAAGCAUGACCGUAAGGACAUGUGGACUGCAUAGAAGUGAGAAUGUUGGCAUGAGUAGCGAGAUGUGGGUGAGAAUCCCACAGGCCGUAAACCCAAGGUUUCCAGGGGAAGGUUCGUCCGCCCUGGGUUAGUCAGGACCUAAGCCGAGGCCGAAAGGCGUAGGUGAUGGACAACAGGUUGAUAUUCCUGUACCACCAAUAACCGUUUGAGAAAUGGGAUGACACAGUAGGAUAAGCUAACCGCACUGUUGGUUAUGUGCGGGCAAGUAUUGAGGCAGUUCCGAUAGGCAAAUCCGUCGGAAUAAUGCUGGGGUACGAUGCGGAGCGAAAUUUAGUAGCGAAGUAGCUGAUUUCACACUGUCGAGAAAAGUCUCUAUCGAGGUUAAAGGUGCCUGUACCGCAAACCGACACAGGUGGGUGAGGAGAGUAUCCUAAGGCCAGCGAGAGAACUGUUGUUAAGGAACUCGGCAAAAUGACCCCGUAACUUAGGGAGAAGGGGUGCCUUCGAAAGAAGGCCGCAGAGAAUAGGCCCAAGCGACUGUUUACCAAAAACACAGGUUUCUGCUAAGUCGCAAGACGAUGUAUAGGAGCUGACGCCUGCCCGGUGCUGGAAGGUUAAGGGGAUCUGUUAGAGCAAUCGAAGCAGUGAACUUAAGCCCCAGUAAACGGCGGCCGUAACUAUAACGGUCCUAAGGUAGCGAAAUUCCUUGUCGCGGCAGCACCAUCUCGCUGGCCGAUUGGCGGCGGC